This 1279-nucleotide long non-coding RNA is filed under the name Homo sapiens (human). RNAcentral describes it as "LHRI_LNC802.2". Lineage: Eukaryota; Metazoa; Chordata; Mammalia; Primates; Hominidae. The record is from RNAcentral.
CAUACUGUUCGCAUGGUAGUGAAUAAGUCUCAUGAGAUCUGAUGGUUUUAUCAGGGGGUUCUGCUUUUGCAUCUUCCUCAUUUUUCUCUUGCCACCACCAUGUUAAGAAGAGCCUUUUGCCUCCCACCAUGAUUCUGAGGCCUCCCCAGCCAUGCAGAACUCAAAUGAUGAGCCCGAGGGCAGACAGCAGUAAGACUCCACCUCCCACCGCUGCGAUGAGGAUGACAGUCAAGUCUGUGAGCAGAGACAUAAAGAGACAGAUGAAGAGGCAGCUGGGGCUGGAGUGCAGUGUCAUGAUCUAGGCUUACUCCAACCUCUGCCCCCCGGGUUCAAGCGAUUCUCAAGCCUCAGCAUCCUGCGUAGCUGGGAUUACAGAUGCUGGUGAAACAACAGUGAGGAGAGCCUGGGAGAAUGUGAGAAACAAGCACUAACACACUGAUGGCUGGAAAGCACACCAGGACAGGCUCUCCACAGGUGACAUGGAAAGACGCAUCCAAAGCCCUAAGAACCUCUCUACUCUUCAUCCCAGCAAUUCUGCUUCCAGAACAUGGAAAUACGCAACUAAAGCCCUAAGAGCCUCUCUACUCUUCAUCCCAGCAACUCUGCUUCCAGAACACGGAAAUACGCGUGCAAAGACCUAAGAACCUCUCUACUCUUCAUCCCAGCAACUCUGCUUCCAGAACGUGGAAAUGCGCGUCCAAAGCCCUAAGAGCCUCUCUACUCUUCAUCCCAGCAACUCUGCUUCCAGAACUGUAGCUGGACAAAAUAGUUAAGAAUGUUCAGAACAUGGGCGCGGUGGCUCACGCCUGUAAUCCCAGCACUUCAGGAGGCCGAGGCGGGCAGAUCACCUGAGGUCAGGAGUUUGAGACGAGCCUGGCUAAUAUGGUGAAACCCCGUUUCUACUAAAAAUACAAAAAAUUAGCUGGGUGUGGUGGUGCACACCUGUAAUCCCAGCUACUCAGGAGGCUGAGGUAGGAGAAUAGCUUGAACCUGGGAGACGGAGGUUGCAGUGAGCCGAGAUCGCGCCAUUGCACUCCAGCUUGGGCAAUAAGAGUGAAACUCUGUCUCAAAAAUUUAAAAAAAGAGUGUGCAGAACAACACAGCUGAAGAACACAUUCUUAGAUACAUCAAAAUGGGAUAAUCCAGUUGAUACCAUUUUAUAACCUUGGCAACAUGAGGAUAAUGGUUCAUCCUUUCAUGUCAUUUUCUAGUCUGUGCUAUGUAAUUUCAAGUGCCUUUUCACUGAAUAGACCUAUUAAAAUUGAUACAAGCAGCUGGC